Molecule: ribosomal RNA, 2155 nt
Filed under: bioreactor metagenome
Description: bacterial LSU rRNA
Rfam family: Bacterial large subunit ribosomal RNA
Source: RNAcentral
GGAGGACCGAACCCACUUGGGUUGAAAACCGAGGGGAUGACUUGUGGGGAGGAGUGAAAGUCUAAUCAAACGCAGGGAUAGCUCGUUCUCUCCGAAAUAGCUUUAGGGCUAGCCUUGAGCCACUACGCACCGGGGGUAGAGAUACUGAAUCGGGUUGGGGGUCUUCCCAGACUACCCUCCUGAACCAAACUCCGAAUACCGGUGCGACUAUCUCAGGAGUCAGUCCGCGAGGGAUAAGCUUCGCGGACGAGAGGGAAACAACCCAGAUCACCGGCUAAGGUCCCGAAUAUCGUCUUAGUCACUAAGGAGGUUCUGUUGCACCAGACAGCCAGGAUGUUGGCUUAGAAGCAGCCAUCAUUUAAAAAGUGCGUAACAGCUUACUGGUCGAGCAAUUCAGCGCCGAUAAUGAACGGGAGUAAGUCCUGCACCGAAGCAGUGGACGGCGCGCAAGCGCCGUGGUAGGAGAGCGCUGUAGAUCAGACACGAGUCGUACCGAAAGGAGCGAUGUUGGGGUCUACAGGUGAUUAUGCCGGAAUGAGUAACGAUAAAGCAGGUGAGAAUCCUGCUCGCCGAAAGCCUAAGGUUUCCUGGGGAAGGUAAGUCCGCCCAGGGUUAGCCGGUACCUUAGUCGAGGCCGAAAGGCGUAGACGAUGGAUAGCAGGUUAAUAUUCCUGCGCCGCUUGUGUGGAGCGAUGGAGGGACGGCAUCCGGAUGGCGAUCAGACGAUUAGAAAUGUCUGUAGGGCAAGCUGAGACAGCGGGAUUGGAAAAUCCGCCCGCAUACGUCAAGGUUUGAACUCGAGCGGUUCGUCCGCGAAGUCGUUGGAAGGAUGUCCAAGAAAAUCUUCUAAGCGUUGAAGCACAGCGACCGUACUAAAACUGACACAGGUAGGCGAGACGAGAAGUCUAAGGCGCUCGAGGAAACGAUGGUUAAGGAACUCUGCAAAUUGACCCCGUAAGUUCGCGAUAAGGGGUGCCCUUGGGGGUGCAAGCUCUUGAGGGCCACAGUAAAUCGGCACUAGCGACUGUUUAUCAAAAACACAGGUCUCUGCUAACUCGCAAGAGGAUGUAUAGAGACUGACGCCUGCCCGGUGCCGGUAGGUUAAGGAAGAGGGUUAGCGAAAGCGAAGCUCGCGACCGAAGCCCCGGUAAACGGCGGCCGUAACUAUGACGGUCCUAAGGUAGCGAAGUUCCUUGUCGGGUAAGUUCCGACGUGCAUGAACGGCGUAAUCACUGGAGCAGUGUCUCAAGGACCGACUCGGUGAAAUUGAAGUCGCGGUGAAGAUACCGUGUUCCCGCAGCAAGACGGAAAGACCCCGUGAACCUUCACUGCAGCCUGGUACUGAUAACUGGUACCACAUGCGUAGGAUAGGUGGGAGGCGCUGAUCCGCCGGUUCCGGCCGGCGGGGAGCCAACGUUGAAAUACCACCCUUGUGUUAUUAGUUAUCUAACCCCGUCCCGUGAAUCCGGGCGGGGAACAGUGCUAGGUGGGCAGUUUGACUGGGGCGGUCUCCUCCGAAAAAGUAACGGAGGAGUGCAAAGGUCGGCUCAGCACGGUUGGCAAUCGUGCGGCGAGUGCAAGGGCACAAGCCGGCUUAACUGCAAGACUUAAUAGUCAAGCAGAUGCGAAAGCAGGCCCUAGUGAUCCGGUAGUCCCGUGUGGAAGGGCUAUCGCUCAUCUGACAAAAGGUACUCCGGGGAUAACAGGCUGAUCGCCACCGAGCGUCCAUAGCGGCGUGGCGGUUUGGCACCUCGAUGUCGGCCCAUCGCAUCCUGGGGCUGAAGGCGGUCCCAAGGGUUCGGCUGUUCGCCGAUUAAAGCGGUACGCGAGCUGGGUUCAGACCGGCGUGAGCCAGGUCGGUCCCUAUCUGCUGUGGGCGUAUGAGUCUUGAAGGGCCAUCACUCUAGUACGAGAGGAUUGGGUGGUACGGGCCUCUGGUGUACCUGUUGUCGCGCUAGCGGCACGGCAGGGUAGCUAAGCCCGGACUGGAUAAACGCUGAAGGCAUCUAAGCGUGAAGCCGUCCCUAAGAUGAGGACUCGGUGCUCCCCUUCGGGGUGAGCUGAAGACCCCUGGUAGACCACCAGGUUGAUAGACCGGGUGUGUACGAGCUGAGAAGCUCUUAGCUAACCGGUACUAACGGUCGAAGGCUUGACC